GACGAACGCUGGACGGCGCGCUUAACACAUGCAAGUCGAGCGAGAACCAGCCCUUCGGGGCUGGGGAAAGCGGCGAACGGGUGAGUAACACGUGGGUAAUCUGCCCUCGGCACCGGAAUAGCCCGGGGAAACCCGGAUUAAUGCCGGAUGGCCUCUCGAGCUCUCGAGCUCGUGAGAAAAGGUAGCUUCGGCCUCCGGCCGAGGAUGAGCCCGCGGUCGAUUAGCUUGUUGGUGAGGUAAUGGCNCACCAAGGCGACGAUCGAUAGCUGGUCUGAGAGGACGAUCAGCCACACUGGGACUGAGACACGGCCCAGACUCCUACGGGAGGCAGCAGUGGGGAAUCUUGCGCAAUGGGCGAAAGCCUGACGCAGCGACGCCGUGUGCGGGAAGAAGGCCUGGUGUAACG
Molecule: ribosomal RNA, 406 nt
Filed under: uncultured bacterium
Lineage: Bacteria
Description: bacterial SSU rRNA
Rfam family: Bacterial small subunit ribosomal RNA
Source: RNAcentral